AACAUCCUUCGGGGCAGGGUGAGGCGUUGUGACGAGCGCCAAUUCCCGACCGGUGGUGACGCGCAAGCGAAGUCCACGAGCCUAAACCGCGUGGUUGGGCAGGAACUGGUGAGAGUCCAGUACCGACGGUACAGUCCGGAUGGGAGAAGGAUGAC
This 155-nucleotide non-coding RNA is filed under the name Paenalicyclobacillus macrosporangiidus. RNAcentral describes it as "Alicyclobacillus macrosporangiidus FMN sequence". It matches the Rfam family "FMN riboswitch aptamer (RFN element)". Rfam says of the family: The RFN element is a highly conserved domain that is found frequently in the 5'-untranslated regions of prokaryotic mRNAs that encode for flavin mononucleotide (FMN) biosynthesis and transport proteins. The record is from Rfam by way of RNAcentral. Lineage: Bacteria; Bacillati; Bacillota; Bacilli; Caryophanales; Alicyclobacillaceae.